UAUUUUGACUAUACGAAGGUAUUGAAAUAAGGCUUUAAAUGAGUGCUAAGAGAAUGGUUUUACAAUUAAAAGCUUUCUUUAAUUAAUAAAUUGAAUUUAAUUUUUUUUGUGAAGAAGCAUAAAUAAUAAUUAGGGACAAGAAGACCCUAUGAAUUUUAAUAAAAUUAUAUUAGGGGAAUGCCCUAAAGUUUAAUUUAGUUGGGGUGAUUAAAAAAGAAUAAAUAUCUUUUUGUGUAAGGAAAUAUUAAUUUGUUCCGUUAUUAAUGAUUAAAUGAUAAAAAUACUCUAGGGAUAACAGCGUAAUAAUUUUGGAUAGUUCUUAUAGAUAAAAUAGUUUGCGACCUCGAUGUUGGAUUAGGAUUCUUUUUUAAUGAAGAGGUUAAAAAAAGAAGUUUGUUCAACUUUUAAAUUCCU
Molecule: ribosomal RNA, 414 nt
Filed under: Ixodes kingi
Lineage: Eukaryota; Metazoa; Arthropoda; Arachnida; Ixodida; Ixodidae
Description: partial 16S ribosomal RNA
Source: RNAcentral